Molecule: long non-coding RNA, 1522 nt
Organism: Oreochromis aureus
Lineage: Eukaryota; Metazoa; Chordata; Actinopteri; Cichliformes; Cichlidae
Source: Ensembl
AGAAAUUCAGCCAACUGUAGCGACUCUUCGACGGCAGAACUACACAACAACCUGUUUGUUAAAACCAAGAUAAGGAAGACACAAAGAAACACAGACGCAGACGCUGACGCAGACGCAGACGCUGAAGCAUAUAAAAUGGCAGAAGCACAGAUGGAAGUGGUCGUGGGACCAAAACUAACAAUUUUGGUAAGAUCGAAAAUUGACCUCAAAAAACCCCAAACACCAAAUCCUGAAACACGUCCUGUGGCACAAGUUCAAACAGACGUGGACGUGAAAGCCAAGAAAAAAAGGGGGCAAAAACAGAAAAGAGUGGCUGAAGAACCCAGACGACCGAUUACUCGGGCGUAUGCUCGGGCUCUUCUGGAAGCCCAGAACAAAGUGGCUGAUGGAAGCAACCCGAAAAAUGAAGAAAUGUCAGAAAACCCUGAAGGAACCUCUGAAAUGGAAAACCCUGAAUCCCUCCCUAUGUCAGAACCAAAGGAGGACGUGAAUAUGGAGGCAGAGGCAAACGUGAACAACGCCAGUGGACAAAACCCUGGACCAAAGGGAGGGACGUGGCAGCCCAAUCCCAGAUUUAUACCCCAUCAUGGCAGAGUCCAGUAUGAUUCAUGUUGCGAGAUCGCUGCUCUCAGGCAUCAACUACAAACCUCCCAAAACCACCAGAACGAGCUCUACUGGAAACUGGUAGCUGCUAAUAAGAGGGCUUCUUAUUACCAGUCUAAGGUGAGCAAACUUCAUGCACAGAUGAUUGCCGACAAAAAACAGCAUGAAGAAACAAUUAAAGAGCUCAUAGAGCAACUGGAGGAGGCUAAUGAUAAUAAUAAGCCUGAUAAGAGCAAAACAGAGGUUCAAACAAAGGACAACCAAGCAGUUGUCAUGCUGGAUGACAUGAUCCGUGUCCUGCAUGAAGACGUCAGUGACCCUACCACAGAGCAGUGUGUGGAUUCUUCUAACCAAACCACAGAGGCUUCACACACUGACUCUGUAGGUCUGAAGGAGGCUGAAUUUGAAGGCCAGUGCAGGACUCAACAAGAGCAAAUAGGAACACUCCAACAACGGCUCCUAGAAGCUCAAAACCAACUCAAGGAACAGGAAGAUGAACAUAGGCAGGACCAGGAGACACUGAACAUGGAAAUCAGUGAGCUUAAAUCCCAGCUCUGCUCCAAAAAGGAGCUUCAUGACAUGAAAGUAGCGACUCUUCAUCAAGAGUUGAAAGAAGUCAAAGCGUCCUACAUUAAAAUCACACAGGAGCAAAAUGACCAAAAGUCCAACACUGCAAAUGGAAAAUCUGAGCUUCUGGUGGAAAAAGACACCAAAGAACAGGACAAGGAAGAAGAGGACUCCCUGCCACAGACUGCAGUUACUCUACGUGACUCUUUCCAACAAACAGAAGACAGACAGAAAAUGAUAACUACCAAUCCAGCUGAACUUCAAACUGAAGCUAAGACUGUGCCAGAGAACAAACCAAAGAAGAAGAGGAAGAGGAACUGGCUGCGUCGGCUUUUCAGCUGUACCAGUCCAC